This 743-nucleotide ribosomal RNA is filed under the name uncultured bacterium. RNAcentral describes it as "bacterial SSU rRNA". It matches the Rfam family "Bacterial small subunit ribosomal RNA", at positions 8 to 796 of the family's 1533-position model. The record is from RNAcentral.
AGAGUUUGAUCAUGGCUCAGAGCGAACGCUGCGGCAGGCUUAACACAUGCAAGUCGAGCGGGCGUAGCAAUACGUCAGCGGCAGACGGGUGAGUAACGCGUGGGAACGUACCUUUUGGUUCGGAACAACACAGGGAAACUUGUGCUAAUACCGGAUAAGCCCUUACGGGGAAAGAUUUAUCGCCGAAAGAUCGGCCCGCGUCUGAUUAGCUAGUUGGUGAGGUAACGGCUCACCAAGGCGACGAUCAGUAGCUGGUCUGAGAGGAUGAUCAGCCACAUUGGGACUGAGACACGGCCCAAACUCCUACGGGAGGCAGCAGUGGGGAAUAUUGGACAAUGGGCGCAAGCCUGAUCCAGCCAUGCCGCGUGAGUGAUGAAGGCCCUAGGGUUGUAAAGCUCUUUUGUGCGGGAAGAUAAUGACGGUACCGCAAGAAUAAGCCCCGGCUAACUUCGUGCCAGCAGCCGCGGUAAUACGAAGGGGGCUAGCGUUGCUCGGAAUCACUGGGCGUAAAGGGUGCGUAGGCGGGUCUUUAAGUCAGGGGUGAAAUCCUGGAGCUCAACUCCAGAACUGCCUUUGAUACUGAAGAUCUUGAGUUCGGGAGAGGUGAGUGGAACUGCGAGUGUAGAGGUGAAAUUCGUAGAUAUUCGCAAGAACACCAGUGGCGAAGGCGGCUCACUGGCCCGAUACUGACGCUGAGGCACGAAAGCGUGGGGAGCAAACAGGAUUAGAUACCCUAGUAGUCC